AUCCUAUUAUUUGUUUUUUACUUAUUUUCUAUUUUUAUUUUAUUAUUAUAAAAAAGAAAAUAAAAAAGAAAGAAUAAAACAGCAACAGCAAGCACGUUGCUUCCCUCCCUCACUACUCUUUCUUUUCAAACUCAAACCAUUGUCUUUUUCCCAUAUUGGCAAAUCUUCACCAACCUCCUAAAGGGUUUGCUUUUCCUUCCCUUCUUGGCCACUCAAACCCUAAUUUUCUAGUAUAAGUAGGGGUAACUUUUCAGAGCAUAGGAGGAGGCGAUUUAGGAGAAAUUCAGAGAAGAAAAAACCAAAAAAAACACAUUUUUUUCAUCACUUUUUUCAUUUUUCGAAAUCACACCAAACACCUUCUAAACUUCAAUUUUCUUUCACUAAUCCCUUCUAACACAUACCAGUAGCGAAACACACAAGGAAAAAACGAAGGAAAACCGUUGAGAGAAGCUUACUCAAACUCCAAAAUUGCAAAGAAAAGAGUGAGUUCUAACUCAUCUAAGCAAGCUUCAAAACAACUGGAUAGUUGAGGUUUGACUCCGCCUUCUUCUUAGGUUCCAUUGGGAGGAAAGUCUCAAGCUUGUUGUGUAAACAAGGUGGAGCACAGAUUCAUGUUUGGGAGCAAUUAUCUU
Molecule: long non-coding RNA, 632 nt
Organism: Trifolium pratense (red clover)
Lineage: Eukaryota; Viridiplantae; Streptophyta; Magnoliopsida; Fabales; Fabaceae
Exons: 3
Source: RefSeq, a predicted model, not a curated record